GUAGGGGGCAAGCGUUGUCCGGAUUUAUUGGGCGUAAAGAGCGUGUAGGCGGCCAGAUAGGUCAGCUGUGAAAACUCGAGGCUCAACCUCGAGACGUCGGUUGAAACCAUCUGGCUAGAGUCCGGAAGAGGAGAGUGGAAUUCCCGGUGUAGCGGUGAAAUGCGCAGAUAUCGGGAAGAACACCCGUGGCGAAGGCGGCUCUCUGGGACGGUACUGACGCUGAGACGCGAAAGCGUGGGGAGCGAACAGGAUUAGAUACCCUGGUAGUCCACGCCGUAAACGAUGGGUGCUAGGUGUGGGGGGUGUCGACUCCCCCCGUGCCGAAGCUAACGCAUUAAGCACCCCGCCUGGGGAGUACGGCCGCAAGGCUA
RNAcentral lists this ribosomal RNA (371 nucleotides) under uncultured bacterium. Its description in RNAcentral is "bacterial SSU rRNA". It matches the Rfam family "Bacterial small subunit ribosomal RNA", at positions 527 to 896 of the family's 1533-position model. The record is from RNAcentral.